UACGUAGGGGGCUAGCGUUGUCCGGAAUCAUUGGGCGUAAAGAGCGUGUAGGCGGUCCGGUAAGUCCGUUGUGAAAGUCAAGGGCUCAACCCUUGAAUGCCGGCGGAUACUGUCGGGCUAGAGUCCGGAAGAGGCAAGUGGAAUUCCCGGUGUAGCGGUGAAAUGCGCAGAUAUCGGGGAGGAACACCUAUGGCGAAGGCAGCUUGCUGGGACGGUACUGACGCUGAGACGCGAAAGCGUGGGGAGCAAACAGG
This 254-nucleotide ribosomal RNA is filed under the name uncultured bacterium. RNAcentral's name for it is "partial 16S ribosomal RNA". It matches the Rfam family "Bacterial small subunit ribosomal RNA", at positions 524 to 776 of the family's 1533-position model. The record is from RNAcentral.